Long non-coding RNA from Urocitellus parryii (Arctic ground squirrel), 1566 nucleotides. RefSeq lists it as uncharacterized. NCBI's taxonomy places the organism in Eukaryota, Metazoa, Chordata, Mammalia, Rodentia, Sciuridae. The record is from RefSeq and is a predicted model, not a curated record.
GGAAAGCAGAACUCCUGCUUCUGCUAUAUUCUUUUAUUAUGGAGCAAACAGGGGGCUCCCGGGACUGGAACACUUAGGAUGGAGAUGCAAUGYCUACCUUGGAGAGUGUGCGAUGCUCUGCAGAGCCUGUCGCUCCUGAGCUUUAGAGCAGAAGACCAAGUCUCAGACACAAUAAGCAAGCGGUGGAUCUCAGAUUCAAAACAGURCAACAGAGAUGCCCGCCAGCUAUGCCAAUUCUGAAGCCUACUCUCCUUCCACCUCCCAAGACUGUAUCACCAGAACCACUAGAGAGAACAAAGUACAGAGAGUAUACAGCUGUCCUACAAUAAGCAUCCAGGACCUCCAGACCCACAAAUCCCAGGYUCCUCACAUGCAAAAUGGCCUCACACACCCUUCUGGGUACUCUAAGUCAUCUCCAGUUUGCCUAUACUGUUUAAGUCCACAUCAGUGAUGUGUGAACAGUUGUUCUGCUGUGUUUUUUAAAUGAUAAUAACAAGGAAAACAUCUGCACAUGCUCAGUACCAUUCUGUAAAGGAUUUUCAACCCACAGUUGGUUGGCAGUAUAGGAAAUGUAUAUGAAAUACACACAAAACACACUCCCGUGAGCAUGAGUAACAUAGGACAUUCAAGGUUCAUAAUGAGGAAUGCAGGUGUUAUUUCACAUUCACAAAAAUACAGUGUGUUUUACAGAUGGCAGAUGUAGAAAGCGUGCCAGGAGAAGGAUCGUCCUGCUUCAGGAUUCUUCCAGAUGCUAAGGUAUUCUUCUGAGAGUUCCUUUCCCUGUUCCACUUUCACCAUCUGGAUGUUCCCCUUCAUACCUAACUGAAUUACCUCAUGCUGUUUUGGGCCCUCUCUUUAGGAGUCGCUAGAGAUGAAGAACAGGUAGUCCUUAUUUUCGGUGUUAACCCUUCAAAAGCUUGAGCCUUCCAUAGUAAUCUUGUUGCUGAGAUAAAUAAUCCCAAUUCCUAAAUACUGCCCCCUUUUUCCCAAAACAGUUUCCUAAAGUGUGCUUCUUUCCACAAGGCACAUGCUGCCCACUUCCUUCUGAAGUACGCCCACUGCCAGGGCCCGAGGAUGUUGCCCUCCAGAUGACAAUGGCUGUGGUGUGAUUGYGGUAGCCACAAGUCUGUGGUUGUUUUAAGGCUCGUAACCUAAGUGAUAAGAUUCUGGRCAUUWUKUUUUCUUCAAACCAAAUCAAAACUGUCUAAGUUCAGGGGAAAAAAUAGGAGAAAAGUGUUAAGCACCAAAGGAAUUUGGGAGAUGUUUGGUGUUUUGUGUGAUGUGCAUUGAUUGUUACUAAAAGUUUUAGGAAAAACUCCUUUGAUAGCAUAGAAAGGAAACAAAAGGAGCACCUAGGGUCUGGAAUAACAGRGGAUAUAUUUCUAUAAGGAAAAGAAAGAGUGCAUCCAAAGCUCUUCCUGCUUCAGAGCCACAGAAUGAUUUCCAGGGUGUGGGCUUCUCUAGAAAUCAGAGGUCACAGCAGAAAUCUAAUAACAUGGUAAUGUCAGAAACAAAAAGGAGCAGGGAUUUAAUGGGACUGAGUUACUUCACAAGCCCAGGGUCAUA